RNAcentral lists this ribosomal RNA (376 nucleotides) under uncultured bacterium. RNAcentral describes it as "bacterial SSU rRNA". It matches the Rfam family "Bacterial small subunit ribosomal RNA", at positions 523 to 898 of the family's 1533-position model. The record is from RNAcentral.
AUACGUAGGUGGCGAGCGUUGUCCGGAUUUACUGGGUGUAAAGGGCGCGUAGGCGGGUUCUUAAGUCCGGUGUGAAAUACCUCGGCUCAACCGGGGGGGUGCACUGGAAACUGGGGAUCUUGAGUGCUGGAGAGGGAAGCGGAAUUCCUAGUGUAGCGGUGAAAUGCGUAGAUAUUAGGAGGAACACCAGUGGCGAAGGCGGCUUUCUGGACAGUAACUGACGCUGAGGCGCGAAAGCGUGGGGAGCAAACAGGAUUAGAUACCCUGGUAGUCCACGCCGUAAACGAUGGAUACUAGGUGUGGGGGUUGUCAUGACUUCCGUGCCGCAGUUAACACAAUAAGUAUUCCGCCUGGGGAGUACGGUCGCAAGAUUAAA